GACGAACGCUGGCGGCGUGCCUAAUACAUGCAAGUAGAACGCUGAAGGAGGAGCUUGCUUCUCUGGAUGAGUUGCGAACGGGUGAGUAACGCGUAGGUAACCUGCCUGGUAGCGGGGGAUAACUAUUGGAAACGAUAGCUAAUACCGCAUAAGAGUAGAUGUUGCAUGACAUUUGCUUAAAAGGUGCAAUUGCAUCACUACCAGAUGGACCUGCGUUGUAUUAGCUAGUUGGUGGGGUAACGGCUCACCAAGGCGACGAUACAUAGCCGACCUGAGAGGGUGAUCGGCCACACUGGGACUGAGACACGGCCCAGACUCCUACGGGAGGCAGCAGUAGGGAAUCUUCGGCAAUGGACGGAAGUCUGACCGAGCAACGCCGCGUGAGUGAAGAAGGUUUUCGGAUCGUAAAGCUCUGUUGUAAGAGAAGAACGAGUGUGAGAGUGGAAAGUUCACACUGUGACGGUAUCUUGCCAGAAAGGGACGGCUAACUACGUG
Molecule: ribosomal RNA, 495 nt
Filed under: uncultured bacterium
Lineage: Bacteria
Description: partial 16S ribosomal RNA
Rfam family: Bacterial small subunit ribosomal RNA
Source: RNAcentral